GUUGUAUAGUUAAGUGACUAAGCGUACAAGGUGGAUGCCUUGGCAAUCAGAGGCGAUGAAGGACGUGCUAAUCUGCGAAAAGCUUGGAUGAGUCGAUAAGAGGCGUUUAAUCCAAGAUGUCCGAAUGGGGAAACCCAGUAGAUGAAGAAUCUACUAUCACUUACUGAAUCCAUAGGUAAGUGAGGCAAACCGGGAGAACUGAAACAUCUAAGUACCCCGAGGAAAAGAAAUCAACCGAGAUUUCGUUAGUAGCGGCGAGCGAACGCGAAGGAGCCUGUUAGUGAUAAUGACAGAGACAGAGGAACAAGCUGGGAAGCUUGGCGAUACAGGGU
Molecule: ribosomal RNA, 332 nt
Filed under: Neisseria sp.
Lineage: Bacteria; Pseudomonadati; Pseudomonadota; Betaproteobacteria; Neisseriales; Neisseriaceae
Description: partial 23S ribosomal RNA
Rfam family: Bacterial large subunit ribosomal RNA
Source: RNAcentral